Non-coding RNA from Pelobates cultripes (western spadefoot toad), 236 nucleotides. NCBI's taxonomy places the organism in Eukaryota, Metazoa, Chordata, Amphibia, Anura, Pelobatidae. The record is from the annotation of a GenBank genome assembly.
AGAAGGCAGAGAUUAAAAUAUGUAAAUGUACACAUAUAUAUGUGUGUGUGUGUAUCUGGCUGUGUUUAUGUCCUUGUGUGUAUCUGGCUGUGUUUGUGUCAGUGUGUGUAUCUGGCUGUGUUUGUGUCAGUGUUUGUAUCUGGCUGUGUUUGUCUGUGUGUCAGUGUUUCUGUGUUUAUGUAUACCUGUGUAUGUGUACUUGUGUGUCAGUGUGUAUGUGUACCUGUGUGUGUGUU